UACAGAGGUCCCGAGCGUUGUUCGGAUUCACUGGGCGUAAAGGGUGCGUAGGUGGCGUGGUAAGUUUGAUGUGAAAGCUCAGGGCUUAACCCUGAAAUGGCAUUGAAUACUACUGUGCUGGAGGUUUGGAGGGGGGACUGGAAUUCUUGGUGUAGCGGUGAAAUGCGCAGAUAUCAGGAGGAACACCGGUGGCGAAGGCGG
This 201-nucleotide ribosomal RNA is filed under the name uncultured bacterium. Its description in RNAcentral is "partial 16S ribosomal RNA". It matches the Rfam family "Bacterial small subunit ribosomal RNA", at positions 524 to 724 of the family's 1533-position model. The record is from RNAcentral.